Long non-coding RNA from Xenopus laevis (African clawed frog), 436 nucleotides. RefSeq lists it as uncharacterized. The record is from RefSeq and is a predicted model, not a curated record. NCBI's taxonomy places the organism in Eukaryota, Metazoa, Chordata, Amphibia, Anura, Pipidae. The transcript is spliced from 3 exons.
UCAAAACUUUUUCCAAGUAUAACCACCCCACUCUAUCAAAUGCUUUUUCAGCAUCGGUUGUAAGAAUUAUUGUUGGGGUGUCUACUUUGUGCCCGGUCUUUUGCCUAAUUUUCAGUAAUGAUAGAAUUUUAUAAAUAUUGUCUUUUCCCUCCCUUUUAGGUAUAAACCCAGCCUGGUCCUCAUGAAUUAAGUCAGUGCGCUGAAGCCAUCUGGUCCUGGACUCUUUUCCACGGCCAAGGAAUCUAUGGUGUCGCUUAUUUCUUGUGGUGUAAAAGGUUACUACCAAGAGCUAUCAACUGUCCUCUAAGCACACAUUUUUUUGUUUCCCACAGUGUCGCCAUCCCAACCUCUGGUCCUGAAUUUUCUUUUAAUAUUGUUUGCAACAUUUUCCUUAUUUUACCCUUAGUAUCUUUAUUAUGUAACAAUAAAGCGUUAA